CAAUAAUUAUAUGAGAGUUGAUGACAAUCGCGUUGAACCUCUCUACAAGCAUAUUUUUCCACCUGCGCUAGCUCCCGGACUUUCUUUCAUUGGUUUACCUGCAAUGGUUAGUUAGUUUCAAUCGAUUAAAAUUUUCCGAAGUUUUGAGUGAUUCAACUCUUCUUGAUUUUUAGAAAACUCAUCAAUUUCUUGGUUUGAUAUUGUUAUAACCAGGGUCUACAAUUCUAUAUGUUUGAAGUCCAAAGCAAAUGGGUUGCUGCAGUCUUGUCUGGACGAGUUACACUUCCUUCGGUAGAUGAAAUGAUGGACGAUCUUAAGUUGUCGUAUGAAACACAAGAAGCGUUAGGUAUUCCCAAAAGAUAUACACAUAAGUUGGGUAAAUCUCAGGUACGACAUUUUUUAGUUACGAAUAUGCUAUGGUAAUAUAUAUCAACUUGAAAAAGAAUAUAGUUUCAAUAAUAAAUUUUGUGUCUUUUAGUGUGAGUACCUCGAUUGGAUCGCAGACCUGUGUGGAUUCCCACAUGUUGAACAUUGGAGAGAUCAAGAAGUAACUCGCGGUUACCAGAGACUUGGUAAUCAACCAGAAAC
This 588-nucleotide long non-coding RNA is filed under the name Arabidopsis thaliana (thale cress). Its description in RNAcentral is "long non-coding RNA (ATHA_LNC000609)". Lineage: Eukaryota; Viridiplantae; Streptophyta; Magnoliopsida; Brassicales; Brassicaceae. The record is from RNAcentral.